GAUGAACGCUGGCGGCGUGCCUAAUACAUGCAAGUCGAGCGAACAGAUGAGGAGCUUGCUCCUCUGACGUUAGCGGCGGACGGGUGAGUAACACGUGGAUAACCUACCUAUAAGACUGGGAUAACUUCGGGAAACCGGAGCUAAUACCGGAUAAUAUAUUGAACCGCAUGGUUCAAUAGUGAAAGACGGUUUUGCUGUCACUUAUAGAUGGAUCCGCGCCGCAUUAGCUAGUUGGUAAGGUAACGGCUUACCAAGGCGACGAUGCGUAGCCGACCUGAGAGGGUGAUCGACCACACUGGAACUGAGACACGGUCCAGACUCCUACGGGAGGCAGCAGUAGGGAAUCUUCCGCAAUGGGCGAAAGCCUGACGGAGCAACGCCGCGUGAGUGAUGAAGGUCUUCGGAUCGUAAAACUCUGUUAUUAGGGAAGAACAAAUGUGUAAGUAACUAUGCACGUCUUGACGGUACCUAAUCAGAAAGCCACGGCUAACUACGUG
RNAcentral lists this ribosomal RNA (497 nucleotides) under uncultured bacterium. RNAcentral's name for it is "partial 16S ribosomal RNA". It matches the Rfam family "Bacterial small subunit ribosomal RNA", at positions 28 to 507 of the family's 1533-position model. The record is from RNAcentral.